GGAACCAGAGACAACUGUCAUCACACAAGCUUGAGCCAUGUGCUGCAGACACAAUGCUGUAUUUCUUCUCCCAGUAACUUGAUGGGCCAGCAAUAUAGACCCUAUAGUUUCUUCACUGAAUUGACAGCAGAUGAGCUAUGGAAAGGUGCUUUAGCAGAAACUGGUGCUGCAGCAAGAAAAGGAAGAGGCAAAAGAACUAAGAAAAAGAGAAGAAAGGAUUUGAACAGGGGUCAGAUCAUUGGUGAAGUCCUUUAGGGUGUUUGAUUUUCUGUGGCCUGGUCUGAAUGUCCCUCUUAUGAGAAAUGGAGUACUGCAGACCAUUGCCCAAAGAAGCAA
Long non-coding RNA from Cynocephalus volans (Philippine flying lemur), 336 nucleotides. RefSeq lists it as uncharacterized. The record is from RefSeq and is a predicted model, not a curated record. The transcript has 3 exons. Lineage: Eukaryota; Metazoa; Chordata; Mammalia; Dermoptera; Cynocephalidae.